AUGAAGAGUCGGUGCUGCAACGAGCUGUCGGCCAUCCCGGCCUACUGCAGGUGCGAAGCGCUGCGUAUCCUCAUGGAUGGGGUAGUAACUCCGCAGGGUGUGUUCAAGGGUGGCUACCUCAAGGACAUGCAUGCCCAACUGCCCAAGGGUGAGGCAAAGGAGCUACGCCACCCUCGUGGCCCCGCAGGAGUGUAA
This 195-nucleotide ribosomal RNA is filed under the name Triticum aestivum (bread wheat). Its description in RNAcentral is "partial small subunit ribosomal RNA". The record is from RNAcentral. Lineage: Eukaryota; Viridiplantae; Streptophyta; Magnoliopsida; Poales; Poaceae.